GGUGUUAAACCGGAGGAAGGUGGGAUGACGUCAAGUCCUCAUGGCCCUUAUGGGUAGGGCUUCACACGUCAUACAAUGGUCGGUACAGAGGGUUGCCAACCCGCGAGGGGGAGCUAAUCCCAUAAAGCCAGUCGUAGUCCGGACCGCAGUCUGCAACUCGACUGCGUGAAGUCGGAAUCGCUAGUAAUCGUGGAUCAGCAUGUCACGGUGAAUACGUUCCCGGGUCUU
RNAcentral lists this ribosomal RNA (228 nucleotides) under uncultured Rhodocyclaceae bacterium. Its description in RNAcentral is "partial 16S ribosomal RNA". It matches the Rfam family "Bacterial small subunit ribosomal RNA", at positions 1154 to 1382 of the family's 1533-position model. The record is from RNAcentral. Lineage: Bacteria; Pseudomonadati; Pseudomonadota; Betaproteobacteria; Rhodocyclales; Rhodocyclaceae.